RNAcentral lists this transfer RNA (76 nucleotides) under Candidatus Bathyarchaeota archaeon. RNAcentral describes it as "tRNA-Arg". It matches the Rfam family "tRNA". From Rfam's summary of the family: Transfer RNA (tRNA) molecules are approximately 80 nucleotides in length. Their secondary structure includes four short double-helical elements and three loops (D, anti-codon, and T loops). Lineage: Archaea; Thermoproteati; Candidatus Bathyarchaeota. The record is from RNAcentral.
GCGGUCGUAGCUCAGUGGAUAGAGCACAGGUCUUCGGAACCUGUGGCCGCGGGUUCGAAUCCUGCCGACCGCGCCA